GACAGGUGAGUCAUCGAAUCUUUGAACGCACAUUGCGCCCGCCAGUAUUCUGGCGGGCAUGCCUGUUCGAGCGUCAUUUCAACCCUCAAGCCCUACCUUGUGAACGGCUUGGUGUUGGGGAUCGGCAGCUUUGCCGUCCCCUAAAAGUAUUGGCGGCCCUCCGAGGCGACCUCUGCGUAGUAACUUACCUCGCACUGGGAAGCUUGGAGCGGCCACGCCGUAAAACCCCCGACUUUUAUAAGGUUGACCUCGAAUCAGGUAGGACUACCCGCUGAACUUAAGCAUAUCAAUAAGCGGAGG
RNAcentral lists this unclassified non-coding RNA (300 nucleotides) under uncultured Lecanicillium. RNAcentral describes it as "sequence contains 5.8S rRNA gene, ITS2". The stretch from base 1 to 76 matches the Rfam family "5.8S ribosomal RNA", at positions 78 to 154 of the family's 154-position model. The record is from RNAcentral. Lineage: Eukaryota; Fungi; Ascomycota; Sordariomycetes; Hypocreales; Cordycipitaceae.